RNAcentral lists this ribosomal RNA (429 nucleotides) under Bacteroidota bacterium. RNAcentral describes it as "Bacteroidetes bacterium partial 16S ribosomal RNA". It matches the Rfam family "Bacterial small subunit ribosomal RNA", at positions 355 to 776 of the family's 1533-position model. Lineage: Bacteria; Pseudomonadati; Bacteroidota. The record is from RNAcentral.
UAGGGAAUCUUCCGCAAUGGACGCAAGUCUGACGGAGCAACGACGCGUGAGUGAAGAAGGAUUUCGGUUCGUAAAACUCUGUUGUUAGAGAAGAACAGCGCAUAGAGUAACUGUUAUGCGUGUGACGGUAUCUAACUAGAAAGCCACGGCUAACUACGUGCCAGCAGCCGCGGUAAUACGUAGGUGGCAAGCGUUGUCCGGAUUUAUUGGGCGUAAAGCGAGCGCAGGCGGUCAAUUAAGUCUGAUGUGAAAGCCCCCGGCUCAACCGGGGAGGGUCAUUGGAAACUGGUUGACUUGAGUGCAGAAGAGGAGAGUGGAAUUCCAUGUGUGACGGUGAAAUGCGUAGAUAUAUGGAGGAACACCAGUGGCGAAGGCGACUCUCUGGUCUGUAACUGACGCUGAGGCUCGAAAGCGUGGGUAGCAAACAGG